RNAcentral lists this non-coding RNA (112 nucleotides) under Paenibacillus sp. Its description in RNAcentral is "TPP sequence". It matches the Rfam family "TPP riboswitch aptamer (THI element)". Rfam says of the family: Vitamin B(1) in its active form thiamin pyrophosphate (TPP) is an essential coenzyme that is synthesised by coupling of pyrimidine and thiazole moieties in bacteria. The previously detected thiamin-regulatory element, thi box was extended, resulting in a new, highly conserved RNA secondary structure, the THI element, which is widely distributed in eubacteria and also occurs in some archaea. Lineage: Bacteria; Bacillati; Bacillota; Bacilli; Caryophanales; Paenibacillaceae. RNAcentral also lists the same sequence under 1 other name. The record is from RNAcentral.
GCAUAGGGAUACGGGGGCUUGAGCGAAUCAGGCUGAGAUAGCGGCAUAUUGCGCCGCGGACCGUUAAUCUGAUCUGGAUAAUGCCAGCGUAGAGAAUCGAUCGUCCGGGACU